This is a long non-coding RNA of Peromyscus californicus insignis, 3269 nucleotides long. RefSeq lists it as uncharacterized. The transcript is spliced from 4 exons. Lineage: Eukaryota; Metazoa; Chordata; Mammalia; Rodentia; Cricetidae. The record is from RefSeq and is a predicted model, not a curated record.
UCCUCUCUCUCUCUCUCUCUCUCUCUCUUUUGCAAAAACUUUUUCUCGCUCCUUGCCACCGGUGCGCCGCCGCUCACUUCCCGCUCACUCCCAACAUCCUUCCUUCAGGCCGUUCUAGAAGAUGAGAUCACCGAGGCGUCCUCUGUCCAUAAGGCACCUCUCCAGGGAACCUUCCUUCUCCAUCUCCAAAUUCUGGAGGCCGCGGCCACCUCCACUCGGCUCUCUUUAAGGCCUCUCGCGCCCUCUGCUGGUCGUCUGCGCACACGGCACUCCUCGGAAUCCGGUUGCUCCGGCGGACUUAAAUUUGACAGGUUCCCGGUGUGCAAGGCCCAGCUAGGAGCCCAGGGCGGGAGCUGCGGGAGCCCCAGGAAAGAAGGGCGCACCAGGGGAGAUUGCAGUCCCUGGAGGCAGGGCCUGACCCGGGAGUAGCCUGUCUCUUUGGAUUGGUGUUGCCGUGGUGACGGGGUCCAGGGAAGAGGGCAGCUAGCUCCGUUUCCCACCUGAGAGAGAAGCGUGGUGGGAGGAAAGCCGUCCUUUCCCUCAAACGGAUCUUUCCUGCCCUAGCGCUGCUCUAAGCCACCUUCUUGGGCCUGCAAGCUCCCGCCUCCAGGAUCCUGCCCUGCUUGAGUUCCUGUCCGGACUUCCUUCAGUGAUGAACAGCAACGCUGAAGUUUUCAGAGAGUGAGUCCAUGACCAUCACGGUGGAGAGCAUGGCAGCAGGCAGGCAUGAUGCUGGAGCAGUAGCUGAGAGCUGACAUCUUGAGAUACAACCAGGAGGCAAAGAGAGAGAGAGCCAACACGGAAGGAGAUGACCUGUGCUUCUGAAACCUCCAAGUCUGCCACAGAGACACAUCUCCUUCAACAAGGACACCGUUGUGGGGCAUUUGUCCCCACUGACACUCCAGGGCUUCUAAUAAAGCUAAACCUUGAAUCAGAGAGCAGAGUCGGUGUUUGACUGACUGGAAUUAGCCAUAGAUAUUUUGGAGGACCCACGGAGUUGGAUAGAGAGGUAUAGGAAGAGAUGAAGCGGGGCUUGGAGAGGUUUCUUGGGCUUUUCGAUCUGGGAAACAGAGAGAGUAGGGUCAGCCGAUCCUUCCUCCACGUUUUUUUAAUUUAUCAGGUUUUGAUCUUAAUUUAUGACUCCCGAGGUUUUCUUUUUUAUUAUUAUUAAUACUAGAACAAUUAAGGUAAAUGUAUUAGGACAUGCCUUCUAAUCCUUCCCAAACAGUUCCACCAACUGGGACCAAGUAUUCAAAUAGGCGACCCAUUGAGGGGCAUGCUGUGGGAUGUCUUUCUGUAUACUGUGGAUAUGUGUUGCCCUGAUUGGUUGACAAAUAUAGCUGCACUGGCCUAUGGCAGGGCAGGAUAAGGUUAGGUGGUACAUUGAAACUAAAGAUGAGAUGAAGAAGGAUGGAGUCGGGGGAGACGUCAGCCCACCACCCAAGGAGCAACAGGAUGCCAGCAGACCAGUAACACCACGGCCACGUGGCAGCAUACAGAUUAAUAGAAAUAGGUUGAGUUAAGUUAUAAGAGCUAGCUAAUGAGAAGCCUGAGCCAUAGGCCAUAUGAUUUGCAAUUCAUAUUAAAGCCUCUGAGUGGUUAUUUUAUAAGCGGCUGUGGGACCGUGGGACCGGGCAGGCCCAGAGAAACAUGGGACCCCGGGGCCAGGUGGGACCAGAGAAACUUAUGGCUACAUUUUGGCAACCAACAUGCUAGCAAGAAUUUCCACCCAAAACUUGAGAAAGCUUUAAAAAAGGUUCUAAAAUGGAACCAAGAGCAGCUUCCUAGUUGUAUCUCUCGGGCAGUCCGUGAUACAGAGAUGCCAUGGUGUGCAGGCUUGACCUACGGCAUGGUGGAUUCCCAUUGUGGUUCACAGAGGUGUCUCCAAGCCACACAGCACACUGUGUAGCAGAUUUAGCUUUUGCUAGUGCAGACAAAAAAUAAAUACCAUUGACACCUAUUCAGGAUGUCAAUGGGCAACUCCCAUGCAUUCUGAAAAGGCUGAUUCUGUGAUUACACACCUAUUAGAAGUUAUGGCCAUCAUGGGAAUACCUGUACAAAUUAAGACAGACAAUGCCCCAGCAUAUGUCUCCAAUAAAAUGAGACAGUUUUUUGCUUAUUACAAUAUAAAGCAUGUUACAGGUAUACCAUAGACCAAGCAGUCAUAGAAAGAUCCAAUCAAACUUUAAAGGAUAUGCUACAUAAACAGAAACAGGUAACAAUGACUCCUAGAAAUAGAUUGCAUAAUGCUUUAUUAACCUUGAAUUUUCUCAAUGCUGAUGGGAAAGGAAAAACAGCUGUGGAGAGACUUUGGAUGACAGAAAAAACUACUGAGCUAAACCAACCUGUUUACUUCAAAUGUGUGUUGACCUCGGAGUGGAAACCAGCGUAUGUAAAUGAAUUUCUAAAUGGUCUUAUUAAAUAAAAAACACAGAGCCAGAUAUAGGAGUGAAAGCCCGAGAGAGAUCAGGGAAAUAGGGAAAGCCACAGCUAACCAAAUCUUAUCAACUUGGCACCUUCCAAAUGCGAGCGACUUCCUGUCUGCCCAGGCCUGUAUGCCUUGCUGUUCUGCCAUCUGAUUUGCUCUCUCUGUCCAGCUACAUCACUUCCUCUUCCUGCCCAGCUCUGUCACUUCCUGUCUGUCUGUACAUACCUCCAGACCUCCAUGGUUAACUAGUGUUGGAAUUUAAGGCACGUGCCACCACACCUGGCUUUGUUUUCAGUGUGGCCUUGAACUCACAGAGAUCCAGACAGAUCCCUGUCUGCCAAGUGAUAGGAUUAAAGGCGUGCACUACCAUUGCCUGACUUCCGUGUUUACUUAUAAUGGCUAUUCCUAUUCCUCUGAUCUCCAGGCAAGCUUUAUUUAUUAAAGCACAAUAUCACCACAUUUCAGCACAAAUAAAAUAUCACCACAAGGAUGACGUCCUACAUUGGGGAAGGGGUUUUGCUUUUGUUUCUACAGGAGAAGAAAAGCUAUGGAUACCAACAAAAUUAACAAAAAUUUGCUUCGAACAGGAGAAACCCCUUGAUGAGGAGAAGUAAUAGCUCAUCCACCAAUGUGACAUCUCUACAAGUUGUAAGAAAAACUCAACAAACAAGGAUUGGGGCAACUUUCUGUUUUUUGUCUUUACAGGAUAAUAGAAAUACCCAUCUUUAAGAAAUCAUAAGGCCAAAGCCGGGCGGUGGUGGCGCACGCCUUUAAUCCCAGCACUCGGGAGGCAGAGCCAGGUGGAUCUCUGUGAGUUCGAGGCCAGCCUGGUCUACAGAGU